This 793-nucleotide ribosomal RNA is filed under the name uncultured bacterium. RNAcentral describes it as "bacterial SSU rRNA". It matches the Rfam family "Bacterial small subunit ribosomal RNA", at positions 92 to 898 of the family's 1533-position model. The record is from RNAcentral.
UUAGUGGCGGACGGGUGAGUAAUGUAUGAGCAACCUGCCUUUCAGUGGGGGACAACAGUUGGAAACGACUGCUAAUACCGCAUAAUGUAUUUGGGGGACAUCCCCUGAAUAUCAAAGGAGCAAUUCGCUGAAAGAUGGGCUCAUAUCUGAUUAGUUAGUUGGUGGGGUAACGGCUCACCAAGACCGUGAUCAGUAGCCGGACUGAGAGGUUGAACGGCCACAUUGGGACUGAGAUACGGCCCAGACUCCUACGGGAGGCAGCAGUGGGGAAUAUUGGGCAAUGGGCGAAAGCCUGACCCAGCAACGCCGCGUGAAGGAAGAAGAUCUUCGGAUUGUAAACUUCUUUUAUGUGGGACGAAAAAAAUGACGGUACUACAUGAAUAAGCCACGGCUAACUACGUGCCAGCAGCCGCGGUAAUACGUAGGUGGCAAGCGUUAUCCGGAUUUACUGGGUGUAAAGGGCGCGUAGGCGGGGAUGCAAGUCAGAUGUGAAAUCUAUGGGCUUAACCCAUAAACUGCAUUUGAAACUGCGUCUCUUGAGUGUCGGAGAGGUAGAUGGAAUUCCUUGUGUAGCGGUGAAAUGCGUAGAUAUAAGGAAGAACACCAGUGGCGAAGGCGAUCUACUGGACGAUAACUGACGCUGAGGCGCGAAAGCGUGGGGAGCAAACAGGAUUAGAUACCCUGGUAGUCCACGCUGUAAACUAUGAAUACUAGGUGUGGGGGGACUGACCCCUUCCGUGCCGCAGUUAACACAAUAAGUAUUCCACCUGGGGAGUACGACCGCAAGGUGAAA